RNAcentral lists this non-coding RNA (50 nucleotides) under Otolemur garnettii (small-eared galago). Lineage: Eukaryota; Metazoa; Chordata; Mammalia; Primates; Galagidae. The record is from RNAcentral.
AGUUUGAGGUUGCUGUGAGCUAGGCUGAUGCCAUAGCACUCUAUCUGGGC